GUGCUCGCUUCUGCAGCACAUAUAAUAAAAUUGGAACGAUAUACAGAAGAUUUGCAUAGCUUCUGCACAAGAAUGAAACGCAAAAUUCAUGAAGCGUUCCACAAAUUC
Pelobates cultripes (western spadefoot toad) is the source of this 108-nucleotide non-coding RNA. The record is from the annotation of a GenBank genome assembly. NCBI's taxonomy places the organism in Eukaryota, Metazoa, Chordata, Amphibia, Anura, Pelobatidae.